This is a long non-coding RNA of Bos taurus (domestic cattle), 1262 nucleotides long. NCBI's taxonomy places the organism in Eukaryota, Metazoa, Chordata, Mammalia, Artiodactyla, Bovidae. The record is from Ensembl.
AGGCAUCCAUGUCAUCUUAGCAGCUUCUGCCUUGCAAGAAGGAAUGGGUUUGUUUUGCUUUUAGCAAAAAGCAAGGGACCCUUUAGAACUUUGAUCCUUCGGGCUCCCAAUUGAAUUCUUCUACAAGAGUUUCCUUGGAAGGUCCCACAGGUUAAUGACUUAAGAUUCUCCCUAUCAAGCCCAUAAAAUGGGCCACUGGGGAAUGGCUGGGGAAUGCUGAGGAAACUAGGACUUGAAGAAAAUAUUGCUCCUGCCUCUGGCCAAGCUAUGGAAGUCUGUCACCUGACCCUGCCCAUCCAGCAAGCAAGAUUCCUCAGGCAAAACAUAACUCCUGCCCCUCCCACGAAUGCUGAACAUUCUGUUUUUUGCCCUGAGGAAGAAACUGGUAAAAACUGCCUUAUCUUCUCCCCGUGGCACACCCUCUUCCUUGCAAAACCAUGGAAUUGGGUGACAUUAUCUGAGUCUGUGUGGUUUAGCAGGGCUCAAUAUCAAGCUUUAAAUUGUUUUCAGAUACACAUUGGAGUGCAGCCUGUGUUCUCCUGGGUGACGUGAAGGGAAGCCACUGAGCUCCAAAUUUCAGCAAGCUGUUUUUCCAUACACUUCUGAUCAUCUUAACUCAAGUGACCUAUUUCCGUUCCUGUCCUAGGCAGGCAUGAAGCUCUCUUAGAAGUACAUAAACUAGUUCAGACAGGCAUGCCCAUUAGGGCAUGGGAAAGGGAAAGUUCCCAGAAAUUUCUGCCAUCAAAUUACGAAGGCUAACCCCCUCCUUUAGUAGAUUCAGUCAGUCAUCCAUUGCUUCAUUCAAUAAAUAUUAAUAGAGAACCUAUUGUGUGCUGAGCUCUCUGACAGAUGAGGUUCCUGAUCUCCUGGAGCCUACAUUCUAGCAGAGGGAAACAGACAAUCAAGAAACAAACAAGGACUUCUCCAGUGGUCCAGUGGUUAAGACUCCACACUCCCAAUACAGGGGACAUGGGUUCAGUCUCUGGUCAAGGAAGAUCCCGCAUGCUGCACAGCCAUAACAAAGAGGCAAACAAACAACAGCAGCAUCAGGUAGUGAGGAACUGAGGCUACAAGACAGGAAGAGACUUGCCCAACAUUGUAUUGUCCAUGUCUUCUCUCUGUCUCUCAGUUUUUCAUUGAAUAUAUUUUGAGUGUCAAGUAUCUUCUAUGUGCCAGGCACAGUGCUAGACAAUGAAGAUACAAGAUAAAUAGGACAGACAGGGUUCCUGUCCUUACAGAGUUUAUAGUAUAAUCAGGGAGUG